Molecule: ribosomal RNA, 372 nt
Filed under: uncultured organism
Description: bacterial SSU rRNA
Rfam family: Bacterial small subunit ribosomal RNA
Source: RNAcentral
CGGAAGGGGCGAGCGUUGUUCGGAAUCAUUGGGCGUAAAGGGCGUGUAGGUGGUUCUGUAUGUCUACCGUGAAAGCGUACGGCUCAACCGUAUUUAGUCGGUAGAAACUGCAGGACUUGAGGCUGGGAGGGGCUGGUGGAAUUCCCCGUGUAGCGGUGAAAUGCGUAGAGAUGGGGGAGAACACUCGUGGCGAAGGCGGCCAGCUAGACCAGUUCUGACACUGAGGCGCGACAGCGUGGGGAGCAAACAGGAUUAGAUACCCUGGUAGUCCACGCUGUAAACGAUGGGCACUAGGUGCUGGCGGUCUUGAUCCCGUCGGUGCCGGCGCUAACGCAGUAAGUGCCCCGCCUGGGGAGUACGGUCGCAAGGCUG